This is a long non-coding RNA of Arabidopsis lyrata subsp. lyrata, 2370 nucleotides long. RefSeq lists it as uncharacterized. The record is from RefSeq and is a predicted model, not a curated record. The transcript has 4 exons. Lineage: Eukaryota; Viridiplantae; Streptophyta; Magnoliopsida; Brassicales; Brassicaceae.
UUUCUCUCUCUCUCCCUCUCUCUCUCUCUCUCUCUCUCUCUCUCUCUCUCUUGACUCUCCGAUCUGACGAGAUUUUGCUAAAAUCGGAGGCAGUCGUCAGUUUAAUUGUCACCUUUGACUCCUUGAUUUACCCUGAUCAUCAUCUUCACCGACGCGCUGCACGAUCGGUGAAUUUUGUUGAGCAAAUAGGCGACUCUUCUUGAACAAUGGCUCGUCCUUCUUUCACCCGAUCUGAGUCUUUCCUUCACCAAAUCGGCGUAUCUCUUUCACCAAGUAUUUCUGAUGGUAAAUUAGGGUUCUUUGAAGAUGAAUAGGGCAUGAUGGUGGUUAAGCUGGGUGCAUGUAGAAGAAGCUCAAAGGGGAAUUGUGUACAUUGAUGAAGUUGAUAAGAUGACUAUGAAGUCUCAUAGCUCAAAUGGUGGUAGAGAUGUCUCUGGAGAAGGUGUCCAACAGUCAUUGAUAAAAUUGCUGGAAGGAACUGUAAGACUUUCUACUUUAAAUCUUUUAGUUUUUUCAAAAAUGUGUAUAUACAUGUAGACUGUUGACAAAACAAUUAGGAAUUCCCUUUUCGCCUUCUUGUUAAGAUAGAUUAUGCAUGUGCAUAUGCGUAGUCUCAUUUGAAAUUAGCAUGCAUGUUCGGAAACAAAACACAUGGUGUAUUCCUUAUUAAAAACUAAAAUAUAUUGUGAAUAGUCGAUGCUCGUUUCCUUAGUAAAAAGCUAUACAAGAUCAACUGAUUGGUUAAACUGAAUUCGAUUAGUCUUGUUAUACAUAAAACUUAAUGACUAGUUAGCUUUUGCUUUUGGUUAGUCAUCAAGUAUAUAUGUCUACAUCAAACAUUGUGUUCUUUGUGUUUUGCUUUAAAUUAAUGCUUAAGUUGUAUUUGUUUCUGUUUAAAUGCAUCUUAUGUACUAUGUGUUCUGUCCUAAUAGAAUUUAAUUAUUUCGCUGAUAAACAAACUCCAUUCCUUUUCGUACGUUAAUAAGUAAAAAGCUUAAUAAGUAAAUGCUUGUUAGUUGUGAUAAAUGCUUGUUAGUUGUUUAGUAACUGUCUACAUCAUGUUUUGUUUAUGUUUUGUGUGUGAUCAAUGCUUGUUACACUGUGAUCAAUGCUAGUUAGUUAUUUACUCUCAAGUGAUAAAUGCUUGUUAGUUGUGUGAUCAAGUUGUUAGACUGAUCAAUUUAAACAACCACCAAGAUUUCUUUAUUCUUCUUUCUUUCUUCAAUCUCUCUUCUUUCUUUAUUUUUUUGGUCCUCUUCUUUCUUUAUUUUUUCUGUCUUUCUUUCUUUCUUUCUUCAUCUCAGCCAUAAGUGGUGUAAUGGAUUCUUCCAAUCCAUUUACUCAAUCUUCUUGGUUCUUGGACCUGCUCAAUAGUCAACCAUGGAUUGAGAAUGAAGCAAGCCAAGUCCCUGUCCAAAAUGAUCAAUGGUCAGAGAGCAUUCAAGCUGAAGACACACCUGAGGGAAAAAAAGGAAAACGUAACAAUUGGUCAGUAAAAGAAGAUGUUGUGCUCAUAUCAGCCUUGUUGAAUACAAGCAAAGACCUUGUGGUGGCCAAUGAGCAAAGGAAGAUGACCUUCUGGUCAAGAAUAGCAAACUACUUUGCUGCAUCUCCAGCGCUUGUUGGGAUGCCAAAGAGAGAGUCUGACCAUUGCAAGUAAAGGUGGAGGAAGAUCAAUGAUCUGUUCUGCAAGUUUGUUGGUUCCUAGCUGCAACAACUCAGAAGUCAAGCGGACAGAAUGAAAAUGAUGUAAUGAAGCUUGCUCACCAAAUCUACUCCAGUGAUUAUGGGGUCAAGUUCACACUUGACCAUUGUUGGAGAGAGCUUCGUAACGAUCAGAAGUGGUGUGCUGCUUCUUCACCUGCAUAGGAUGACAAGUCAAAAAGAAGAAAGGUAGGGGAUAGAGCUGAAGCUGCUGAACAGUCAUCAAGCUCACAUGUAGCUAGCCAUGGAGAUGAAGCAAUGGCUCGUCCACCAGGUUUUAAGGCGGCAAAGGCCAAAGCUAUAAGGAAUAACAAAGGCGUUGAAGAAGGACCAGAUGCUCUGUUAAGGAUUCAGAGCAUUUGGGAGAUUAAGAAAGAGGACUAUGAACUGAAGAAGAAGCAGAGCAAGCUCAAAAUGUUGGAAAAUCUCCUUGGAAAAACAGAGUCACUUAGUGAAAUAGAUAUGGCUUUGAAGGACAAGCUUAUCACUGACAUGUUGUCACAAGCUUAAAUGUUGUCUUUUAUUUCCUGAAUCAGUUUUUUUUUGGAAGUUAGUGUUUCUAUUAUGUUUGUGAUCAAUUAAUGCUUGUGUUUUGUUCAGUUUAUUAUUGAGUUUAUUACUUGUGUUCUCUUCUCAGUUCUAAUGUUAUGGAUGUGUUUUAUUGCU